UCGCCGGCUCUUAAGCAGGAACGAGGCGUGGGGCUUCAAAAGCGCAUCGCCGUCUCCUCGGGUUCGUUAUAUGAUCGGGCGCCAGCCAUGGCAAUCCUCCGCGCCGCUACGGCGAUCUCCGUCGUCUCUACGAACGGCGAGCCCAUCGAUCUGGGCGCGAGAGAAGUUUAAACGUUUGAAGCCUUGCGCCUCCUCGCUCUCGCUGAUGGCUACAGAUCCACCGAACCGACGCUGACACCUCUCUUCAGAGCAAAGACCUUAACUUGAGUUUAAUUCUUCCUCCGAGAGGUGCAAAGAGGAUAUAAAAGGAACUACUGCUGGAAGCUCUAGAUUUUAUGUGAUGCAUAAGCUAUACUCUGCUGAAGGAAUUUGAGACUCUCGGUGGUGCUGAUCAAGGUCCGUGCUUUGCUAACGUCACAGAAGUACCCAAGAAAAGGCAAAGCUGGCUCCACUGAACCUUUCAAAGUGCAAAAAGGAGCAAUGAUAUGGUGCAGAUCAAUUCCCUUCGAGGAGACACCGACUGACAAACCUGUAUAGUGGAUCUCUUCUCUUCAAAAGCCAUAACUGCGGUCCAAGGACUGCUGAUUCAUCAGCUACACGUCAGAUCCCACCAGCAAUAUGAUGACAUAAGCCUUCCAAGUUAGAGAAAUCAUUAUACCUAUUACCCUCUGACCCGAAAACUAUCAAGCGUACAUGCUGAGGACAUUAAAUCAUGGCGUCCAUACCCUACAAAAAAAAAAAAUAAUGGAGGCCGCAAGGAUCAUUUAUUAGAAUGCAUUCCAACGUUAAAUGGAUGCCUUUUGUUCUCCAUUAAGCCCUCAAUUCCACCACUUAUGAUGUGUAUCAUCAUCAAUAAAUGCACUUGGCAUACAUGUUUUUUCCUUGGAAAAAAAUCUUUUUAUCAACGUAUGCCUAUCCACCUUUUAUUUAGGAUCAGAGCUCUACAUGUAAUAUCGAAUUUGCUCAUAAUUAAUAAAUCUAUCACAACAUGUAAUAA
Molecule: long non-coding RNA, 997 nt
Organism: Musa acuminata AAA Group (dessert banana)
Lineage: Eukaryota; Viridiplantae; Streptophyta; Magnoliopsida; Zingiberales; Musaceae
Exons: 5
Source: RefSeq, a predicted model, not a curated record